This is a long non-coding RNA of Pseudopipra pipra, 6272 nucleotides long. RefSeq lists it as uncharacterized. The transcript has 5 exons. The record is from RefSeq and is a predicted model, not a curated record. NCBI's taxonomy places the organism in Eukaryota, Metazoa, Chordata, Aves, Passeriformes, Pipridae.
CCCCGCUGCCCGCCCCGCUCCCCUUGUCCCGGGAGAGCUCCCGGCCGGGCCGUAACCGCGGAGCUCCCACCGCCCUUCCCCGGCCCCAGCAGCGCCCGCCGGGGCUGCGGCGGCGGCGGGAGCCGGCCUGGCUCGUGGUUUCCCCUGGUGCUGGGGAGUGGAGGCGAGUUGUGCUUCCUGCGGGGAGAGAGAAGGGCCUUGGGAAGCUGCUCCAUGAGCCACAGCUGUGCCGAGCCCGGGAGUCUGUCCAGCACCCUUUCUGCUGUUGGGAGAGCACGAGGUGGAUGGAGAGGAUCCCCAGGCAUCUGCAGGCAUAAGGGACUCGUACAACUGAAAUUUUCCUACAGCCCUUGUGGAAGGGACUUCCAGGAUACUCUUGGGAAUGUGCCAGCUCUCCUGCUGGAGCUUUUCUGUGGAAUAUUUGAACACAAAGGGUAAAACUAAAGUCAGGUCUGUUCUGGAGUAUGUAACACUUGUGCAAAACUCCUUUCUUCUGUUUAUUUUCUGUUCUGAAAAGCACACUCUGGGGUUCCUGGGCACUUCCUAUUGAGUGAUUCCAUGAAAAUAAUUUUGUACUGAAAGGGGAAAGGAGCUGUCUGUGGGAGGUCAGGUGUCCAUGAUAAAAGCUUUAUGUUUUUCAGUCAGAUAAGCCUUAAAAUAUCUCACAGUGUAUAGGAAUGCCUGGCUUCUAAAACUCACCAGCUGAAUCUUAGAGGCUUCUUUGAAGAGCUGAUUUCAGGCAGCAGAAUUGGCCCCCAGAAGGGACUCUGUGCCUGCUCUCCCGUGGCUCCAAGGGAUCUCUGGCCCUUCACGCCGGCACCGAGAUUUUCUCGGGAAGGGCCUCAGAUCCCCGGACCAGUCUGGGACACAGGCAAGAUCCCCCUGCCUUUAGAAAUGAGGCCUUCUUGUGGCUUCCUCCCCGUACCCGUUGGUGGGUUCCAAAGAAGGCCUCUGGAAAUGCCUUUUGGGCUGUCCAUUGAAGCCUUGGGACCAAAUUGGGCCCCCUGGAGGGACAGUGCUGUUGGUGCCCCCUGGGUUGGGGCACCCCGAGGACUCCAGCGCACACCGAAAGGAUUAUUCGGGGAGAUCCUCGGGGUGCCCGGCCCUGGGGAGCUCAAAGCAAGGUCCCUGCCAUGGAUUCAGGCGUUGCUGAGAGUAUCCCAGGGGUCCCUGUCCCUGCUAGAUGUGGAGCUCUCUAAUGGGCUGUAAUUGGGUGAUAAAAGUGGUGCUCCAAGUGCCAAAGAAGUGUGGGAUUGGGAUUAAGAAAUGAGCAGUGAGGGUCCAAUUGGCUGUUUUCUCUUGAAUGUAAUUCUAAGAGCUCCAGGAGUGCAAGGUGUGUGUUCCAGUCCCCAGCAUUUGGUUUGCACCUGUCCUGGUCAGACACAGGUCCAACUUGCUCAGUCCUUAACCCAAGAGAGGGAGAAUGAAGGACUGGCACUGUUCAGGUGAUUGGUGUGACAGGGGUCAAACUGGGAAAACACUGGGGAAUUCCUCAGUUUGUCUGUUUGCCAAACUCACCCAAACCUGUGCUAGGAAGAGAUGGACUGGAAAAGUUGAGGCAGAAAUGAAAUUGAAAACUGGGGCUAUUGACACUGUAAUUGCUGAAACUAAAUGUGUCCAAGCAGCAGCUCUUGUUGUGCAGGGAAUAAUUCCUGUCAGCAGCAAGGCCUCGACUGAAGUGGCAGCUGCAGUUGUUCCUGUUGUGUGGGCCAGUGGAAUUGCAGGAGAGUGGAAGAGGGCAGAACCUGUAGGUAUUACCCCUGAUGUGGGAUCUCUUCUGGUAAGGCCAAGCCAGUAUCCUUUAAAAUCAGAAUGCCAGACUGGAUUGGUUGCAGGAACAGCUGAAUUUGCUCCUCCUGGUUUGCUUGUAGAAGGUGAAUGCCAGAACCUGCCAAGAAACCAAUGGCCAAGGUGAUUGAUUAGUGCAGGACCUGAGAGAACCCCCUGAAAUGACAACCUGGAGUAGUUUCCAGAGAAAAUCUGGAAAGCGGGCAGGAAGAAGAGAAGCCCCGUGACUCCUCCCUGAGCCCCAGCCAGCCCAUGAACUGCCUUCCUGGGAAUGGUGGGAUGGGCUGGACUCUGGAUUGCUCCCUCUGGAUGUGUGUGGGAUGGAGCCUGGAAACUGCACAGAGCUGAGCCCAGGGAUUGAAAGGGACCAACCAAGGGAGGUGAAGAAAGAAGGAAGAAGGGAAGUGAGGCAGCAGCCAAGCAGCACCAAGUUGCUGUGUAAGCAGGUGAGUUGUGUUGAGGUUCCUCAGGCAGGCACUGAGGACUUUGAGGGCUCCAGACAGAGCAGACCUGGGAAGGCCCUUGGUGAAGCCCCGCAGAGACCUUCUAAGGGUAGGUGUGUAUGGUGAUAAGUGUUGGGAUUGUCCUGAAUGUGGAACAGGAAUGCAGGGAAGCAAAAUGAACCCUCCUGUAAUGCUGACCCCUCCCAUCAGCUGCAUUGGAGACACCUGUGUGCCCUUUGGGAUCUGAUUGCCAGGACCCCCGUGGGGCUGGGAUCAUGGCAGGGUGUUGUAAGCAAGGAAUGCCUGGCUUGGAAAACUCACCAGCUGAGUCUUAGAGGCUUCUUUGAAGAGCUGAUUUCAGGCAGGCAAAUUGGCCCCCUGGAGGGACUCUGUGCCUGCUCUCUCGUGGCUCCAAGGGAUCUCUGGCCCUUCACGCCGGCACCGAGAUUUUCUCGGGAAGGGCCUCAGAUCCCCGGACCAGUCUGGGACACAGGCAAGAUCCCCCUGCCUUUAGAAAUGAGGCCUUCUUGUGGCUUCCUCCCCGUACCCGUUGGUGGGUUCCAAAGAAGGCCUCUGGAAAUGCCUUUUGGGCUGUCCAUUGAAGCCUUGGGACCAAAUUGGGCCCCCUGGAGGGACAGUGCUGUUGGUGGCCCCCGGGUUGGGGCACCCCGAGGACUCCAGCGCGCACCGAAAGGAUUAUUCGGGGAGAUCCUCGGGGUGCCCGGCCCUGGGGAGCUCAAAGCAAGGUCCCUGCAAUGGAUUCAGGCAUUGCUGAGAGUAUCCCAGGGGUCCCUGUCCCUGCUAGAUGUGGAGCUCUCUAAUGGGCUGUAAUUGGGUGAUAAAAGUGGUGCUCCAAGUGCCAAAGAAGUGUGGGAUUGGGAUUAAGAAAUGAGCAGUGAGGGUCCAAUUGGCUGUUUUCUCUUGAAUGUAAUUCUAAGAGCUCCAGGAGUGCAAGGUGUGUGUUCCAGUCCCCAGCAUUUGGUUUGCACCUGUCCUGGUCAGACACAGGUCCAACUUGCUCAGUCCUUAACCCAAGAGAGGGAGAAUGAAGGACUGGCACUGUUCAGGUGAUUGGUGUGACAGGGGUUAAACUGGGAAAACAUUGGGUAGUUCUUGAGUUUGUCUGUUUGCCAAACUCACCCAAACCUGUGAUAGGAAGAGAUGGACUGGAGUCUCUGCUCCCCUGGGCAGUUGUUCUGCAUGACCUGGGAGCCUCUGGGAUUAGACUGGACUGUGCAGAGAGGGAGCAGUUUGUCCUGUGGAGCUGGGCUGGGUUUGUUCAGGAUGCCUUGGGAGGCAGGGCUGGAGAGGCUCCUCUGUUGGCUGUGGUGCUGGAAGGUUGUAGCAGGAGGGCUGGAGCCCUUUGACCUCCUGCUCCCCCUGUGAGCCCGGCCGGGCCCGUGCCCUUGGCAAUGGAGGGCCCCCCAUUGCUGAGCCAGCGGUUCCGGGGCCAGGAGGGAUGGGAUCAGGAUGCCGAGCUCCCCCCAGGGCCAGGGCUGCCAGCGUUCAACCAUGGAGAGAACUGAGAGCAGAGUGAGAUGGAGGCCAAGCUCCAGCACAGGGAUGGGUGAGGAAAGACCCUGGUCCUCAGGUGGAGCUUUGAAUUCCCUGGAAAAAUGGAUCCUGUCAGAUGGUUCAGGCCCUUGUGGGUGCUGGAGCCAGAGGCCUCUGUGAUUUAUGGUCACCCUGAAAGGUUGCAAGGACAGCAAGUUUUGACUGCAGGAUGAGGUGGCAAACAAAGUGAAGUGGUCCAGAGAAAAGCUGAGGCUAAAAUUGGUCCUGUGCCAGAGCAGCCUCGUGCAGUGCUUGUUGCUGUUCCUGAGUGUCCCAUUGCAGUGGAUAUUUCCAAGGGUGCCUUGUGCUGGGGAACACUGGGGGCAGUUCCCUUUCCCUGGGCAGGGCAGGCAGGGCACGUUUCCCCCCUCGAGGGUGGCUCCACAGUCCCCCCCUGUGCCCUGGGAGCGUGGCAGAACACCUGGAGCCACUGUCCUUGUCAGAGAGGGCAAAGGGAUGGUUGGAUGGGUGAGGGAAUGGGUCAGGGAGUACAAACACCAUUAGAAUGAGUAGUGCAGCACAUGGAAAGGAAGGGGGGAGUUAAUCCAGACAAAAUCCAAGCACCUGCCCAACCUGUGAUAUUUUUAGGAACUCAGAGGUGCUGUGGUCCCUAGGAAGUAUUGCCCAGGACUAGGCAGGAGACUUCAGGCUUGGUCACCUCCAGGGGCAGGCAGUGGGGAGGCAGCUCUGCUGUUGAGGAUGGGGUUAUUUUCUCUGCUUUAUUUUGUCUCCAGAGAUAUUCUGCCCAUUAGUCCAAACUGCCUCCGUCUCCUAACUCUCUGAAGAGGUUUUCUGCUUUUUGUGGGAGGGUAAGGUUUGGAUUCUAACUAUAGAAGAGCCAACAAAAUAAAGGCUUCGUGGCAAACAAAUGGUGUCUCCCAAACUCUUUGUACUUCAAAUAGAUGCCUUUAUUCUUAUUUUUUUCUUAUUGGUAUUCUCAAGGUGUUUAAUACCCUGUCUACAGUUAUUUAUUUUGGCUUCUCUUUUUUAUUUGUUACAAAGUUGAUGUGACUGACUUCUUUUUGAAAUCCAGCAGUGCUCUCAAGGAUAUUUCCCCCCCACUCCUGGGCUUGUGCAGGGCUGUUGAGUCCGUGUGUGCCGCUGUCAGCUUUGCUUCUCUGUUUGCUUGGUUGGCUCCUGUUAGGAGAAGGUUUGUUUCCUCCACUGUAAUAAUUCAGGGAAAUCCUGAGGUAUGAUUUAAGAAAGAAAGUCAUGAACUGUUGCAACAAAUGUGAAUCUGAGAGUGCCUAAAAGCUGUUACUGAAUUCCAUUUCCAGGGACUGUCCUGGUGGGGAUAAUCCAGAAUUGCAGCUUUGAUGUUUAAAAAGGAGCCUGUGGUACUUCUUGUUUCCUGUGCUGGGCUUUCCUUGAACAGUGCCCAGGGAGGGGAGCAGCAACAGCUUCACUUGGAAGUGGACUCUGGUUUUUAAGCACAUCCUAAGCUCAGUGUGGUUUUGGUAUCACUCAGUACUUAUUUUAUUUGCCAUUUGUCUUAAAUUGUAUACACCUUUGAAGUGCCAGCUGUGUUUUGAAGACAUUCUUACAGUUGUUUCAAGUGAAAUUUGGAAUGUUACAAAUUUAGAAAGAGAUGAUUUUCCUGUGAAUAAACUACUAAAACAAAGGGGGGAGUGAGGAAAGCCAAGUUCAGGAGAUAACCUUACAAACUGGUUUGGGAAGUUGUUUACCUAAAUAGCCCAAAUUGGUUUGAGCUGCAGCACAAACGGGGGGGAGAAGGAGAGGUUUUGUAUUUUGACAGUUCUUUCAGUUUUUUGCAGGGACUACUGCCAGGUUCUCUUUGAAGUCCAAACCCAUUAGCAUGGGGAAAUGUGUGUUUGGCUUUAGAAAUAGGAGUUUAUAUUUCCCUUUGAACUAGAGGAAUGUUUCUAUGUCUUUGAAUUUUAAAUUGCAUAUGAAGCAGAAAUAUGUUUGUGUUUUACAGGUGAUAUUUUCACGAAAAUAGAAAUGCAUCAUUGGAUCUUACUCCUCUGAGGGCAAACCACCAGCCUGAUCAUUUCUUAGUCCCUCAAACCCAGUGCCAUGAACUCCGAGGGGUCUUUGGGUGCAAAUGUGUGGAGUGGUGGUGGCCCCCGUGAGAUGUGACCAGCUGGAAAUGUGUGUGUGUGUGUGUGCAGAGCUGGGCUGGAGCCCUUGGGAUUUGGCUCCCAGAUCCCCCCCAGCCUUCAGGAAAACCAGAGGACACCGAACCCUGAGUGAAGGGAGUCCCAUCUGCAGAAGGGUUUUUAGGUUGGGGAAAAGCUCUCCAGAACAAAGCCUGGGUUCAAAACACCUUCAGCACAAGUCAAGGAGCACAGACCCUGAAGUCAUCAAGUUAUGAAGUUUGGUUCAAACCAUUUGCUUCUCAGUCAGUUUUAAUGAAGUGUUAAAAGGAGAACUUAAAUAAGGUUAAUUUCUGAUAGAGAACAAUGGGAAGAAGUCAAGUGGUUUAAGUUCAUUAAACAUGUUUUAUAUCAGUCCAUGGUUAUUUAA